Molecule: long non-coding RNA, 448 nt
Organism: Oncorhynchus tshawytscha (Chinook salmon)
Lineage: Eukaryota; Metazoa; Chordata; Actinopteri; Salmoniformes; Salmonidae
Source: Ensembl
GUAAUAAUGAGAGCCAGGUGUGUGUAAUGAUGAGUGCCAGGUGUGUGUAAUGAUGAGUGCCAGGUGGGUGUAUUAAUGAGAGCCAGGUGUGUGUAAUGAUGAGUGCCAGGUGUACGUAAUGAUGAGUGCCAGGUGUGCGUAAUAAUGAGAGCCAGGUGUGCGUAAUAAUGAGUGCCAGGUGGGUGUAAUGAUGAGUGCCAGGUGGGUGUAAUGAUGAGUGCCAGGUGUGUGUAAUGAUGAGUGCCAGGUGUGUGUAAUGAUGGGUGCCAGGUGUGUGUAAUGAUGAGUGCCAGGUGUGUGUAAUGAUGAGUGCCAGGUGUGUGUAAUGAUGAGUGCCAGGUGGGUGUAAUGAUGAGUGCCAGGUGUGUGUAAUGAUGAGUGCCAGGUGUGUGUAAUGAUGAGUGGUGCCAGGUGUGCGUAAUGAUGAUUCCCAGGACAGGUGGUUAGU